RNAcentral lists this ribosomal RNA (494 nucleotides) under uncultured bacterium. RNAcentral describes it as "bacterial SSU rRNA". It matches the Rfam family "Bacterial small subunit ribosomal RNA", at positions 903 to 1397 of the family's 1533-position model. The record is from RNAcentral.
AAAUGAAUAGACGGGGGCCCGCACAAGCAGCGGAGCAUGUGGUUUAAUUCGAAGCAACGCGAAGAACCUUACCAGGGCUUGACAUCCCUCUGACAGGAGUAGAGAUACUCACUUCCUACGGGACAGAGGAGACAGGUGGUGCAUGGUUGUCGUCAGCUCGUGUCGUGAGAUGUUGGGUUAAGUCCCGCAACGAGCGCAACCCCUAUCAUUAGUUGCCAGCGGAGAGAUGGGCACUCUAAUGAGACCGCCGGGGAUAACUCGGAGGAAGGUGGGGAUGACGUCAAAUCAUCAUGCCCCUUAUGUCCUGGGCUACACACGUGCUACAAUGGCCAGAAACAAAGGGAAGCGAAGCGGCAACGUGGAGCAAAUCCCAUAAAGCUGGUCUCAGUUCGGAUUGUGGGCUGCAACUCGCCCACAUGAAGACGGAGUUGCUAGUAAUCGCGAAUCAGCAUGUCGCGGUGAAUACGUUCCCGGGCCUUGUACACACCGCCCGU